Molecule: long non-coding RNA, 427 nt
Organism: Oncorhynchus tshawytscha (Chinook salmon)
Lineage: Eukaryota; Metazoa; Chordata; Actinopteri; Salmoniformes; Salmonidae
Source: Ensembl
GAGGCAGUAGGGAUGACCAGGGAUGUUCUCUGUUUAGUGAGUCCUCCAGAUCAGAGGCAGCAGGGAUGACCAGGGAUGUUCUCUGUUUAGUGAGUCGGCCAGAUCAGAGGCAGUAGGGAUGACCAGGGAUGUUCUCUGUUUAGUGAGUCCUCCAGAUCAGAGGCAGCAGGGAUGACCAGGGAUGUUCUCUGUUUAGUGAGUCCUCCAGAUCAGAGGCAGUAGGGAUGACCAGGGAUGUUCUCUGUUUAGUGAGUCCUCCAGAUCAGAGGCAGUAGGGACGACCAGGGAUGUUCUCUGUUUAGUGAGUCCUCCAGAUCAGAGGUAGUAGUGAUGACCAGGGAUGUUCUCUGUUUAGUGAGUCCUCCAGAUCAGAGGCAGUAGUGAUGACCAGGGAUGUUCUCUGUUUAGUGAGUCAGUCAGAUCAGAG